Molecule: ribosomal RNA, 460 nt
Filed under: uncultured bacterium
Lineage: Bacteria
Description: partial 16S ribosomal RNA
Rfam family: Bacterial small subunit ribosomal RNA
Source: RNAcentral
CCUACGGGAGGCAGCAGUGAGGAAUAUUGGUCAAUGGACGAGAGUCUGAACCAGCCAAGUAGCGUGAAGGAUGACUGCCCUAUGGGUUGUAAACUUCUUUUAUAUGGGAAUAAAACGUUCCACGUGUGGGAUUUUGUAUGUACCAUAUGAAUAAGGAUCGGCUGACUCCGUGCCAGCAGCCGCGGUAAUACGGAGGAUCCGAGCGUUAUCCGGAUUUAUUGGGUUUAAAGGGAGCGUAGGUGGAUUGUUAAGUCAGUUGUGAAAGUUUGCGGCUCAACCGUAAAAUUGCAGUUGAAACUGGCAGUCUUGAGUACAGUAGAGGUGGGCGGAAUUCGUGGUGUAGCGGUGAAAUGCUUAGAUAUCACGAAGAACUCCGAUUGCGAAGGCAGUUCACUGGACUGCAACUGACACUGAGGCUCGAAAGUGUGGGUAUCAAACAGGAUUAGAUACCCGUGUAGUC